This 369-nucleotide ribosomal RNA is filed under the name uncultured Pseudonocardia sp. RNAcentral's name for it is "bacterial SSU rRNA". It matches the Rfam family "Bacterial small subunit ribosomal RNA", at positions 107 to 508 of the family's 1533-position model. The record is from RNAcentral. Lineage: Bacteria; Bacillati; Actinomycetota; Actinomycetes; Pseudonocardiales; Pseudonocardiaceae.
UGAGUAACGCGUGGGAAACGUACCUUUUGCUACGGAAUAACUCAGGGAAACUUGUGCUAAUACCGUAUGUGCCCGAAAGGGGAAAAGAGUUUAUCGGCAAAGGAUCGGCCCGCGUUGGAUUAGCUAGUUGGUGAGGUAAAGGCCUACCAAGGCGACGAUCCAUAGCUGGUCUGAGAGGAUGAUCAGCCACACUGGGACUGAGACACGGCCCAGACUCCUACGGGAGGCAGCAGUGGGGAAUAUUGGACAAUGGGCGCAAGCCUGAUCCAGCCAUGCCGCGUGAGUGAUGAAGGCCCUAGGGUUGUAAAGCUCUUUCACCGGUGAAGAUAAUGACGGUAACCGGAGAAGAAGCCCCGGCUAACUUCGUGC